Molecule: small nuclear RNA, 104 nt
Organism: Perognathus longimembris pacificus (Pacific pocket mouse)
Lineage: Eukaryota; Metazoa; Chordata; Mammalia; Rodentia; Heteromyidae
Source: RefSeq, a predicted model, not a curated record
GUGCUGACUUCAGCAGUAUAUCAAUUAAAACUGAAAAGAUACCCAGAAGACUAACAUGGCCUCUACACAAGGAUGCCAAUGACAUGAAAACUUCAAAAAUUUUU